This 1393-nucleotide ribosomal RNA is filed under the name Brenneria salicis. RNAcentral's name for it is "bacterial SSU rRNA". It matches the Rfam family "Bacterial small subunit ribosomal RNA". The record is from RNAcentral. Lineage: Bacteria; Pseudomonadati; Pseudomonadota; Gammaproteobacteria; Enterobacterales; Pectobacteriaceae.
UGCAAGUCGGGCGGUAACACAGAGGAGCUUGCUCCUUGGGUGACGAGCGGCGGACGGGUGAGUAAAGUCUGGGGAUCUGCCUGAUGGAGGGGGAUAACUACUGGAAACGGUAGCUAAUACCGCAUGACGUCUUCGGACCAAAGUGGGGGACCUUCGGGCCUCACGCCAUGAGAUGAACCCAGAUGGGAUUAGCUGGUAGGUGAGGUAACGGCUCACCUAGGCGACGAUCCCUAGCUGGUCUGAGAGGAUGACCAGCCACACUGGAACUGAGACACGGUCCAGACUCCUACGGGAGGCAGCAGUGGGGAAUAUUGCACAAUGGGGGAAACCCUGAUGCAGCCAUGCCGCGUGUGUGAAGAAGGCCUUCGGGUUGUAAAGCACUUUCAGCGGGGAGGAAGGCAAUAAACUUAAUAAGUUUGUUGAUUGACGUUACCCGCAGAAGAAGCACCGGCUAACUCCGUGCCAGCAGCCGCGGUAAUACGGAGGGUGCAAGCGUUAAUCGGAAUGACUGGGCGUAAAGCGCACGCAGGCGGUCUGUUAAGUUGGAUGUGAAAUCCCCGGGCUCAACCCGGGAACAGCAUUCAAAACUGACAGGCUAGAGUCUCGUAGAGGGGGGUAGAAUUCCAGGUGUAGCGGUGAAAUGCGUAGAGAUCUGGAGGAAUACCGGUGGCGAAGGCGGCCCCCUGGACGAAGACUGACGCUCAGGUGCGAAAGCGUGGGGAGCAAACAGGGAUUAGAUACCCUGGUAGUCCACGCCGUAAACGAUGUCGACUUGGAGGCUGUGGUCUUGAACCGUGGCUUCCCGGAGCUAACGCGUUAAGUCGACCGCCUGGGGAGUACGGCCGCAAGGUUAAAACUCAAAUGAAUUGACGGGGGCCCGCACAAGCGGUGGAGCAUGUGGUUUAAUUCGAUGCAACGCGAAGAACCUUACCUACUCUUGACAUCCAGAGAAGACUGUAGAGAUACGGUUGUGCCUUCGGGAGCUCUGAGACAGGUGCUGCAUGGCUGUCGUCAGCUCGUGUUGUGAAAUGUUGGGUUAAGUCCCGCAACGAGCGCAACCCUUAUCCUUUGUUGCCAGCGAUACGGUCGGGAACUCAAAGGAGACUGCCGGUGAUAAACCGGAGGAAGGUGGGGAUGACGUCAAGUCAUCAUGGCCCUUACGAGUAGGGCUACACACGUGCUACAAUGGCGCAUACAAAGAGAAGCGAGCCUGCGAGGGUGAGCGGACCUCAUAAAGUGCGUCGUAGUCCGGAUUGGAGUCUGCAACUCGACUCCAUGAAGUCGGAAUCGCUAGUAAUCGUAGAUCAGAAUGCUACGGUGAAUACGUUCCCGGGCCUUGUACACACCGCCCGUCACACCAUGGGAGUGGGUUGCAAAAGAAGUAGGUAGCUUA